This 458-nucleotide ribosomal RNA is filed under the name uncultured bacterium. RNAcentral's name for it is "partial 16S ribosomal RNA". It matches the Rfam family "Bacterial small subunit ribosomal RNA", at positions 338 to 795 of the family's 1533-position model. The record is from RNAcentral.
CCUACGGGCGGCUGCAGUGAGGAAUAUUGGUCAAUGGGCGAGAGCCUGAACCAGCCAAGUCGCGUGAGGGAGUACUGCCCUAUGGGUUGUAAACCUCUUUUGUCGGGGAGCAAAAGCCGGACGUGUCCGGCUGUGAGAGUACCCGAAGAAAAAGCAUCGGCUAACUCCGUGCCAGCAGCCGCGGUAAUACGGAGGAUGCGAGCGUUAUCCGGAUUUAUUGGGUUUAAAGGGUGCGCAGGCGGAUUUUUAAGUCAGCGGUAAAAUCGUGGGGCUCAACCCCAUCCAGCCGUUGAAACUGGGGAUCUAGAGUGUGCGAGAGGUAUGCGGAAUGCGUGGUGUAGCGGUGAAAUGCAUAGAUAUCACGCAGAACACCGAUUGCGAAGGCAGCAUACCGGUGCACAACUGACGCUCAGGCACGAAAGCGUGGGUAUCGAACAGGAUUAGAUACCCCAGUAGUC